Molecule: long non-coding RNA, 402 nt
Organism: Ipomoea nil (Japanese morning glory)
Lineage: Eukaryota; Viridiplantae; Streptophyta; Magnoliopsida; Solanales; Convolvulaceae
Exons: 3
Source: RefSeq, a predicted model, not a curated record
AUUCCCUCGUUUAGUCUUGGGUUGACUCAGGAUACGUCUCCGGUGGGAUUUGGAUUGUCUCAAGAUCUGCCAACCCAAUGUUGGGAGGUGGUGGAUGCUAUUGUCCGUGAAUAUGACGUACGUACGCCAAAUGUCGUGCCUCGUGGUUGGUCAUCCGCCCCAUGUGGUUCAGUCCGUGAUCACCAAGUAUCAGCUAUCCGUAAAAAUUCACCACAUAGCUUGGGAGUACGUAUUGCGGGGGGUCACAAAAGGCCCCGGCACGAUGGUGUUCCUGGGGGGAGUGCAACGAAGGUGACUCCGGUGGAGGCCCGUGAUCACCAAGUAUCAGCUGUCCGUAAGCCUUCAUCACUUAGCCUGGGAGUACGUAUUGGCGGGGGUAACAAAAGGACCUUGCGCGAUGGU